CCUACGGGAGGCUGCAGUAAGGAAUCUUCCGCAAUGGGCGAAAGCCUGACGGAGCAACGCCGCGUGGGCGAUGAAGGCCUUCGGGUCGUAAAGCCCUUUUCUGUGGGACGAUAAUGACGGUACCACAGGAAUAAGCCACGGCUAACUACGUGCCAGCAGCCGCGGUAAUACGUAGGUGGCUAGCGUUAUCCGGAUUCACUGGGCGUAAAGAGCGCGUAGGCGGUGUGCUAAGUUGGACGUGAAAGCCCCCGGCUAAACCGGGGGAGGUCGUCCAAUACUGGUGCACUUGAGGGUGGACGGGGAAAGCGGAAUUCCCGGUGUAGUGGUGAAAUGCGUAGAUAUCUGGAAGAACGCCAAAGGCGAAGGCAGGUUUCUGGGCCUUUACUGACGCUGAGACGCGAAAGCUAGGGGAGCAAACAGGAUUAGAUACCCUGGUAGU
This 439-nucleotide ribosomal RNA is filed under the name uncultured bacterium. RNAcentral describes it as "partial 16S ribosomal RNA". It matches the Rfam family "Bacterial small subunit ribosomal RNA", at positions 338 to 794 of the family's 1533-position model. The record is from RNAcentral.